Molecule: non-coding RNA, 779 nt
Filed under: Schistosoma haematobium
Lineage: Eukaryota; Metazoa; Platyhelminthes; Trematoda; Strigeidida; Schistosomatidae
Description: Eukaryotic large subunit ribosomal RNA
Rfam family: Eukaryotic large subunit ribosomal RNA
Source: Rfam by way of RNAcentral
GUUCAAUGCACGAAUAUCAAAAAGCUAAGAAAGGAACCAAAACACGAUAAUCAAUAUGUACAAACUCUAAACAAUAAGCAUCAUAACGUGCACCGUUGGGGAGGAGCAAGAGUGUACACGUUGAGACCCGAACGAUGAUGAACUAUGCUUGUGAAGGUUGAAGCCAGAGGAAACUCUGGUUGAGGACCGUAGUGAUUCUGACGUGUGAAAGACUAAUCGAACUAUCUAGUAGCCGGUUCCCUCCGAAGUUCCCCUCAGGAUAACUGGCAUUCUGAGAAAUAAACAGUUUUAUCCGAUAAAGAGAAUGAUUAGAGGGAUUGGAGAGAAAUCAUCCCUAACUUAUUCAAAAACUUUAAGUGGGUGAGAAGCUUAAUUCGCUUAAUUGGAGUUCUACAUUGAAUGUGAGUGCCAAGUGGGUCAUUUUCGGCAAGCAGAACUGGCGCUGUGGGAUAAACCAAACGUCCGGUGAAGGUGCCCAACACGACACUCAUGAGGUACCGUAAAGUGUUGGUUAGUCUAGAUAGUAGGACCGCGGCCAUAGACGUCGGAAGCCGCUAAGGAGUGUGUAACAACUCACCUGCCGAAUCAACCAGCCCUAAAAAUGAAUGGUGUUCGAGCGUUGAACCUAUACCGGACCGUUGCUGUAAGCUGAGUCUAUACUGUGUGGGGGCAAGCUGCACUUGGUUCAGACAUGGAGUGACGGUAACGACUAGGAGGGUCGAUGUGGCUAGCGGGGAACCUCAGGCGUGAGCAUAGGUGAAGCGACCACAGGCGCAGAU